GUCCGCGUGGCCCAAUGGAUAAGGCGUCUGACUUCGAAUCAGAAGAUUGCAGGUUCGAGUCCUGUCGCGGCCG
Molecule: transfer RNA, 73 nt
Filed under: Araneus ventricosus
Lineage: Eukaryota; Metazoa; Arthropoda; Arachnida; Araneae; Araneidae
Rfam family: tRNA
About the family: Transfer RNA (tRNA) molecules are approximately 80 nucleotides in length.
Source: Rfam by way of RNAcentral